ACUCCUACGGGAGGCAGCAGUGGGGAAUAUUGGACAAUGGGGCAACCCUGAUCCAGCAAUGCCGCGUGUGUGAAGAAGGCCUGCGGGUUGUAAAGCACUUUCAGUAGAGAAGAAAAGCCUAGGGUUAAUACCCCUGAGUCUUGACGUUACCUACAGAAGAAGCUCCGGCUAACUCCGUGCCAGCAGCCGCGGUAAUACGGAGGGAGCGAGCGUUAAUCGGAAUUACUGGGCGUAAAGCGCACGUAGGCGGCUUUGUAAGUCGGAUGUGAAAGCCCCGGCUUAACCUGGGAAUGCAUUCGAUACUGCAGAGCUAGAGUAUGGUAGAGGGAAGUGGAAUUUCCGGUGUAGCGGUGAAAUGCGUAGAUAUCGGAAGGAACACCGGUGGCGAAGGCGACUUCCUGGGCCAAUACUGACGCUGAGGUGCGAAAGCGUGGGGUAGCAAAACAGGAUUAGAAUACCCUGGUAGGCUCUGCU
Molecule: ribosomal RNA, 474 nt
Filed under: uncultured bacterium
Lineage: Bacteria
Description: bacterial SSU rRNA
Rfam family: Bacterial small subunit ribosomal RNA
Source: RNAcentral